RNAcentral lists this long non-coding RNA (650 nucleotides) under Marmota monax (woodchuck). Lineage: Eukaryota; Metazoa; Chordata; Mammalia; Rodentia; Sciuridae. The record is from RNAcentral.
AUUUUUCAUUGUGAUAAAAUUUGCCAUAUUAAUAAUUUUAAAGUUUACAGUGUAAUAGUAUUAAAUGAAUUCAUAAUGUUAUACAGCUGUCAAAAACAUCAAUCUCCAUAGUUUGUCAUCUUAUAAUAAAACAAAAUCUGUACCCAUUAGACAAUUCCCCAUUCUGCCCUCCCUGAAACUACUGUUCUACUUUUUGUCUCUCUGAUUCUGCUUCUCUGCUUCAUAUAAAUGGAAUCAUAUAGUAUUUGUCUUUCUGUGACUGGCUCAUUUCAUUUUAGCAUAAUGUCCUCAAGGUCCACCUAUGUUAUUCCAUAUGGUAGGAUUUCCUUUUAUGGAAGAAUGAUAAACCAUUGUGUGUAUAUAACAUAUAUUGCUUAUCCCUUUAUCUGUUGAUGGACACUUGGGUUGCUUCCACAUUUUAGCUAUUAUAAAUAUUGCUACUAUAAACAUGAAUAUACAAAUAUUACUUUGAGACCCCUUUUCAAUUUUGGGGGUAUAUACCCAGAGUUGGAAUUUCUGUGUCACACUGUAAUUAAAUUUUAAAAUUUUUUAUGGAACCAUUGCUUAUUCAUUUUUAUCCUCCAAAUGUUGAGACUUUUAUGUAUUAAUGGACAAAACAGGUAAUUUAUACAAGGGGAUUUACAACAAGU